This 403-nucleotide unclassified non-coding RNA is filed under the name uncultured Rhizaria. RNAcentral describes it as "sequence contains 5.8S rRNA gene, ITS2, 28S rRNA gene". The record is from RNAcentral.
AACGCAAAUUGCGCUCUCGGGUAUCCCUGGGAGCAUGCCUCUUUGAGUAUCGGUUCUACCUCAACUCGACAGCGUACUUCGAGUCUAACUCGAGUUGUACGUGUAGUCGGAAAAUGAGUGUCUCAGCGGGUUUUUCUUACUCAAGUUUUCGGACUCGAGUUCAAGACAAAACAAAUCUGUGUCACUUUAAAUACAGAGAAGAACCUGGACCUUCCCGCUAAUUAGGGGAUGACGCAAGAUAAUGCACUCCUCGCUGAGUGUUCAAAACCUUCGUCUCCCCUAAGGGAUGUGCUCCGGUUCUGAUCCAGGAAUGUCGUUAAAUAUUUUGCAAAAGAUAUUUAUUUAGACACUCUUUUUUUCAGAAUAAGAUCUCAGAUGAAGCAAGAUUACCCGCCGAAUUUAA